This 73-nucleotide transfer RNA is filed under the name Spirochaetaceae bacterium. RNAcentral's name for it is "tRNA-Thr". It matches the Rfam family "tRNA". From Rfam's summary of the family: Transfer RNA (tRNA) molecules are approximately 80 nucleotides in length. Lineage: Bacteria; Pseudomonadati; Spirochaetota; Spirochaetia; Spirochaetales; Spirochaetaceae. The record is from RNAcentral.
GCCUCUAUAGCUCAGCUGGUAGAGCACCACCAUGGUAAGGUGGGGGUCAUCGGUUCAAGUCCGAUUGGAGGCU